UCAUGGCUCGGGACGAACGCUGGCGGCGCGCCUAACACAUGCAAGUCGAACGGAGAUUACAGGCGGAAGUUUUCGGAUGGAAGCUUGUAAACUUAGUGGCGGACGGGUGAGUAACACGUGAGCAACCUGCCUAUCAGAGGGGGAUAACGAUUGGAAACGAUCGCUAAUACCGCAUGACAUAGCGGAACCGCAUGGUUCUGUUAUCAAAGAUUUUAUCGCUGAUAGAUGGGCUCGCGUCCGAUUAGAUAGUUGGUGGGGUAACGGCCUACCAAGUCGACGAUCGGUAGCCGGACUGAGAGGUCGAACGGCCACAUUGGGACUGAGACACGGCCCAGACUCCUACGGGAGGCAGCAGUGGGGGAUAUUGCACAAUGGGGGAAACCCUGAUGCAGCGACGCCGCGUGAGGGAGGACGGUCCUCUGGAUUGUAAACCUCUGUCUUCGGGGACGAAACGAGACGGUACCCGAGGAGGAAGCCACGGCUAACUACGUGCCAGCAGCCGCGGUAAUACGUAGGUGGCAAGCGUUGUCCGGAAUUACUGGGUGUAAAGGGAGCGUAGGCGGGCAGGCAAGUCAGGCGUGAAAUAUAUCGGCUCAACCGGUAACGGCGCUUGAAACUGCAGGUCUUGAGUGAAGUAGAGGUUGGCGGAAUUCCUAGUGUAGCGGUGAAAUGCGUAGAUAUUAGGAGGAACACCAGUGGCGAAGGCGGCCAACUGGGCUUUUACUGACGCUGAGGCUCGAAAGUGUGGGGAGCAAACAGGAUUAGAUACCCUGGUAGUCCACACCGUAAACGAUGAUUACUAGGUGUGGGGGGACUGACCCCUUCCGUGC
This 830-nucleotide ribosomal RNA is filed under the name uncultured Bacillota bacterium. Its description in RNAcentral is "bacterial SSU rRNA". It matches the Rfam family "Bacterial small subunit ribosomal RNA", at positions 17 to 846 of the family's 1533-position model. Lineage: Bacteria; Bacillati; Bacillota. The record is from RNAcentral.